UGAACCCAGAGGGAGCGCGCGCCGGAGAGGCACGGCCACCCCCUACAGCCACCAGUCGUCAUUACAAAUUAAAGUCUCACGGCCAAAGCCAAUUCCAGUCGUCACCAGAGUUCUAGCUGUUACCGUUCAAAGGAACGAAAAGUGGCCAGCGCUAAAAAAUUCUGAGCCAAAGUCACAGAUUGGUGCUGGAAGCGAAGCCAACACUGGCCUACCAGCCGAGCUGCAGACAGCUGUGGUGGGGUGUGAAGAGGAGGCACAUUCUGCUUUUACCGACCAGACAGCCCAGACAGUGUGAGCUAGAGGCAGUGGUGGGCUUCAUCUCUGACCCAGGCACAGCUGACCUCCACAAAGGUCUGGUACCAAGGUCUCUCGCUCGCUCUCCAUCCCUCGCCGGCGCUCCCUCGCUCCCUCCUCCCCGUGAUUGACAGGCAAGAUGUCGGUGUGGAGCGAGGCAGGAGCGAAUGCAGCAGCCGUCACCCCCGGAGCCCGGCGGCGGCAGCAGCAGCAGCGCGAGGACGAGACAGCAGCCAGCCGCAGUCGCCGCCGCAGCCGCGGGAGCAAUGCAGACAGCAUCUUGAGAACGCGCUAAAGCACCCCAAACGGUGGACAAUGCCGUGUCACUGCAACUGGGAGGG
Long non-coding RNA from Bos taurus (domestic cattle), 635 nucleotides. The record is from Ensembl. Lineage: Eukaryota; Metazoa; Chordata; Mammalia; Artiodactyla; Bovidae.